AGAGUUUGAUUCUGGCUCAGGAUGAACGCUAGCUACAGGCUUAACACAUGCAAGUCGAGGGGCAUCAGGGAUCUAGCUUGCUAGAUUUGCUGGCGACCGGCGCACGGGUGAGUAACGCGUAUCCAACCUUCCCUAUAGUAGAGGAUAGCCCGGCGAAAGUCGGAUUAAUACUCUAUGUUGUAUUUAGAGGACAUCUGAAGAAUACCAAAGGUUUUACCGCUAUAGGAUGGGGAUGCGUCUGAUUAGGUUGUUGGCGGGGUAACGGCCCACCAAGCCUACGAUCAGUAGGGGUUCUGAGAGGAAGGUCCCCCACAUCGGAACUGAGACACGGUCCAAACUCCUACGGGAGGCAGCAGUGAGGAAUAUUGGUCAAUGGACGAGAGUCUGAACCAGCCAAAGUAGCGUGCAGGAUGACGGCCCUAUGGGUUGUAAACUGCUUUUAUACGGGGAUAAAGUGAGGGACGUGUCCCUUUUUGUAGGUACCGUAUGAGUAAGGACCGGCUAAUUCCGUGCCAGCAGCCGC
Molecule: ribosomal RNA, 523 nt
Filed under: uncultured bacterium
Lineage: Bacteria
Description: bacterial SSU rRNA
Rfam family: Bacterial small subunit ribosomal RNA
Source: RNAcentral